GGAUCAGGUAGGAAUACCCGCUGAACUUAAGCAUAUCAAUAAGCGGAGGA
Molecule: ribosomal RNA, 50 nt
Filed under: Escherichia coli
Lineage: Bacteria; Pseudomonadati; Pseudomonadota; Gammaproteobacteria; Enterobacterales; Enterobacteriaceae
Also listed under: 6 other names
Description: partial 23S ribosomal RNA
Source: RNAcentral